GCCCCUAUAGCUUAAUUGGAAGAGCACAGGCCUGCAAAGCCUUGAGGUCCAGAUUCGAGUUCUGGUGGGGGCUC
RNAcentral lists this transfer RNA (74 nucleotides) under Tupanvirus deep ocean. RNAcentral's name for it is "tRNA-Cys". It matches the Rfam family "tRNA". From Rfam's summary of the family: Transfer RNA (tRNA) molecules are approximately 80 nucleotides in length. Their secondary structure includes four short double-helical elements and three loops (D, anti-codon, and T loops). Further hydrogen bonds mediate the characteristic L-shaped molecular structure. tRNAs have two regions of fundamental functional importance: the anti-codon, which is responsible for specific mRNA codon recognition, and the 3' end, to which the tRNAs corresponding amino acid is attached (by aminoacyl-tRNA synthetases). tRNAs cope with the degeneracy of the genetic code in two manners: having more than one tRNA (with a specific anti-codon) for a particular amino acid; and 'wobble' base-pairing, i.e. permitting non-standard base-pairing at the 3rd anti-codon position. Lineage: Varidnaviria; Bamfordvirae; Nucleocytoviricota; Megaviricetes; Imitervirales; Mimiviridae. The record is from RNAcentral. RNAcentral also lists the same sequence under 1 other name.